UACGGAGGGGGCUAGCGUCGUUCGGAAUUACUGGGCGUAAAGCGCACGUAGGCGGCUUUGUAAGUUAGAGGUGAAAGCCCGGGGCUCAACUCCGGAAUUGCCUUUAAGACUGCAUCGCUAGAAUUGUGGAGAGGUAAGUGGAAUUCCGAGUGUAGAGGUGAAAUUCGUAGAUAUUCGGAAGAACACCAGUGGCGAAGGCGACUUACUGGACACAUAUUGACGCUGAGGUGCGAAAGCGUGGGGAGCAGACAGG
RNAcentral lists this ribosomal RNA (253 nucleotides) under uncultured bacterium. Its description in RNAcentral is "partial 16S ribosomal RNA". It matches the Rfam family "Bacterial small subunit ribosomal RNA", at positions 524 to 776 of the family's 1533-position model. The record is from RNAcentral.